AUGGGGAUCGGAAACCUGAUUGGUCGAGGGCCUCAAACCCCUGUCCCCGCAGGGCUCCGGGCGGCCGUGACCCUGCUGGAGUGCGGGGGGGACCUCCAGCCCCCCGGGGGGUCCCUGCGCCUCCUCUGCCGAGGGGCCGGGUUCAGCAUUGGCAGUUUCACCCUGCUCUGGAUCCGCCAGAGACCCGGGCAGGGGCUGGAGUGGCUCGCAGGGAUCUGGAGCGAUGGUGGCACCUGGUAUGCGCCAUCGCUCAAGGGCCGGUUCACGAUCUCCAGGGACAACGGGCAGAGCUCGGUGACGCUGACCAUGACCGACCUCCGGGACGAGGAUUCCGGAUCCUAUUUCUGUGCCAAAUGUGUUGAUGGUGGUUGCUAUGAUGGUUAUGCUGAUGCUGGACUUUUUGAUCCCACCCCCAUCCCCGAGUCGGUCAUGGUCAGCGUCACCGAGCUCUGCCCGUCGUCCCUGGAGAUCGUGAACCGGCCCUGCACCGACGGCGCGUACCAGGUGCUGCCACUGCUCCAGAUCCCUGCGAGCCACUCCAGCCCCUGCCCGGGUCUCUGGCGGAUCCAGAACAUGUCGUAG
Haemorhous mexicanus (house finch) is the source of this 582-nucleotide non-coding RNA. The record is from the annotation of a RefSeq genome assembly. NCBI's taxonomy places the organism in Eukaryota, Metazoa, Chordata, Aves, Passeriformes, Fringillidae.